RNAcentral lists this ribosomal RNA (522 nucleotides) under Bacillus sp. (in: firmicutes). RNAcentral describes it as "bacterial SSU rRNA". It matches the Rfam family "Bacterial small subunit ribosomal RNA", at positions 129 to 636 of the family's 1533-position model. The record is from RNAcentral. Lineage: Bacteria; Bacillati; Bacillota; Bacilli; Caryophanales; Bacillaceae.
CCCAUAAGACUGGGAUAACUCCGGGAAACCGGGGCUAAUACCGGAUAACAUUUUGAACCGCAUGGUUCGAAAUUGAAAGGCGGCUUCGGCUGUCACUUAUGGAUGGACCCGCGUCGCAUUAGCUAGUUGGUGAGGUAACGGCUCACCAAGGCAACGAUGCGUAGCCGACCUGAGAGGGUGAUCGGCCACACUGGGACUGAGACACGGCCCAGACUCCUACGGGAGGCAGCAGUAGGGAAUCUUCCGCAAUGGACGAAAGUCUGACGGAGCAACGCCGCGUGAGUGAUGAAGGCUUUCGGGUCGUAAAACUCUGUUGUUAGGGAAGAACAAGUGCUAGUUGAAUAAGCUGGCACCUUGACGGUACCUAACCAGAAAGCCACGGCUAACUACGUGCCAGCAGCCGCGGUAAUACGUAGGUGGCAAGCGUUAUCCGGAAUUAUUGGGCGUAAAGCGCGCGCAGGUGGUUUCUUAAGUCUGAUGUGAAAGCCCACGGCUCAACCGUGGAGGGUCAUUGGAAACUGG